GGAAUCUCUAGUGAGUUAGACAUAAGGAGAAGGGUACAUUCAUGAGAAAAGAAGGAAGGCUCGGUACAAGCAAGAGGAGAAUCACGUUAGACAGGGGGAGAGAAAAGCUUAGUGAGAAAGAUUUUAUUGCCUAUCUUGCUCUGAGAGUUCCCUUGUGAGCAAGAAACCCAGAUUUCUUGAUUUUCAUGCCAUCUAAACUUAAUCUUCACCAUGAAGUAUCUCAGAUGCAGCUUCAGUGGAGUGGAGGUGGAGGCAGCCAUAACUGCAGCUCACGCGAGGCUUUCCAAGGCUUUGCUACCAGAGGAGUCGCCUGACGAUGACGAGGGAGCUGGAGGUUGGCCUAUGUCUCGACUGAAGAGGGCGGAGCUGCCCCUCUACGGCCCUGUUCCUAGUGGGUUCAGGGUUCGCAUGAACCCUAUGUGGUGAGAAUGACAACCAUGGGAGGCCAUGUGACCCCCUAUGCCCAUGUAAUUAUAUCCUGGUCCAAACCGACUUGACUCGGUUCUCUUUUAUCUGUUUGUUUGUUCGUUUUUUUUACCUUCAUUUGUCUUAUUUAUUUUCUUAUUUUUACUUUAAUUAAAAAUACUUUUAAAAAUAAAAAAA
This is a long non-coding RNA of Malania oleifera, 603 nucleotides long. RefSeq lists it as uncharacterized. NCBI's taxonomy places the organism in Eukaryota, Viridiplantae, Streptophyta, Magnoliopsida, Santalales, Ximeniaceae. The record is from RefSeq and is a predicted model, not a curated record. The transcript has 2 exons.